GAAAUAUAUUAAGGUUCCUUUCUCCUUUCCUUUGCAAGUGUGAUAUGGAUAAUGCUAUCUCCAUCCCUCCCAAAAGUUAUUCCUUCAGCAUGUUGGAAAUCAAGGAGUUUUUGGAGUAUGCAGAGAUCCAGAUUGUGGUUGUAUUGGAUCUUAUGGAAAGAGCCAUCUGUUCUCUCUCUCUAUCCUCUCCCAUUCUCCUCGAUAUGGCAACCGAUGCCUUUUUUAACAUUCCCAAGCCUGGGACCAAAAUGUAACAUUUCACCCAAAAUUCCUGGGUUUCGACACAUUCCUGAACUAUUGUUUAUUAUUUUUUUUUGUAGGCAGGAUCUACUUUGCUAGUCCUUACACCUGCACAAGCAUGAUCCUUCACCCAUGAUACAUAAUCCGUUUUUGUUUUUGAUAUUCACAACAUUGGGAAUGAAGUUUUGGGCAGGGCAGUGCAACUCUGUCAAAAACUUAUUUUCCUUUUCAAUCUUAGUUUUUUCUCCUCUUUACAGUUUCUUUGAUGUUUUUUUUAAUUUUCCUCAUAUAUCAAGAAUGCAAUUCAUAUUUAUCACAAUCCACUUAGAAAUAAUAA
Molecule: long non-coding RNA, 577 nt
Filed under: Androctonus crassicauda
Lineage: Eukaryota; Metazoa; Arthropoda; Arachnida; Scorpiones; Buthidae
Source: RNAcentral